GAUGAAGAACGCAGCGAAAUGCGAUAAGUAAUGUGAAUUGCAGAAUUCAGUGAAUCAUCGAAUCUUUGAACGCACAUUGCGCCCGCCAGCAUUCUGGCGGGCAUGCCUGUUCGAGCGUCAUUUCAGCCCUCGAGCCCCCCCGGGGGCCUCGGUGUUGGGGGACGGCACACCAGCCGCCCCCGAAAUGCAGUGGCGACCCCGCCGCAGCCUCCCCUGCGUAGUAGCACACACCUCGCACCGGAGCGCGGAGGCGGUCACGCCGUAAAACGCCCAACUUUCUUAGAGUUGACCUCGGAUCAGGUAGGAAUACCCGCUGAACUUAAGCAUAUCAAUAAGCGGAGGA
RNAcentral lists this unclassified non-coding RNA (343 nucleotides) under soil metagenome. Its description in RNAcentral is "partial contains 5.8S ribosomal RNA, internal transcribed spacer 2, and large subunit ribosomal RNA". The stretch from base 1 to 120 matches the Rfam family "5.8S ribosomal RNA", at positions 35 to 154 of the family's 154-position model. The record is from RNAcentral.